UGGGGAAUUUUGGACAAUGGGCGAAAGCCUGAUCCAGCAAUGCCGCGUGUGUGAAGAAGGCCUUCGGGUUGUAAAGCACUUUUGUCCGGAAAGAAAUCCUUGGCUCUAAUACAGUCGGGGGAUGACGGUACCGGAAGAAUAAGCACCGGCUAACUACGUGCCAGCAGCCGCGGUAAUACGUAGGGUGCAAGCGUUAAUCGGAAUUACUGGGCGUAAAGCGUGCGCAGGCGGUUUGCUAAGACCGAUGUGAAAUCCCCGGGCUCAACCUGGGAACUGCAUUGGUGACUGGGCAGGCUAGAGUAUGGCAGAGGGGGGUAGAAUUCCACGUGUAGCAGUGAAAUGCGUAGAGAUGUGGAGGAAUACCGAUGGCGAAGGCAGCCCCCUGGGGCCAAAUACUGACGCUCAUGCACGAAAAGCGUGGGGGAGCAAAACAGGAUUAGAUACCCUGGGUAGUCCACGCCCUAAACGAUGUCAACUAGUUGUUGGGGAUUCAUUUCCUUAGUAACGUAGCUAACGCGUGAAGUUGACCGCCUGGGGA
RNAcentral lists this ribosomal RNA (538 nucleotides) under uncultured bacterium. Its description in RNAcentral is "partial 16S ribosomal RNA". It matches the Rfam family "Bacterial small subunit ribosomal RNA", at positions 355 to 879 of the family's 1533-position model. The record is from RNAcentral.